RNAcentral lists this ribosomal RNA (279 nucleotides) under uncultured bacterium. Its description in RNAcentral is "partial 16S ribosomal RNA". It matches the Rfam family "Bacterial small subunit ribosomal RNA", at positions 506 to 784 of the family's 1533-position model. The record is from RNAcentral.
UGCCAGCAGCCGCGGUAAUACGGAGGGUGCGAGCGUUAAUCGGAAUUACUGGGCGUAAAGCAAACGUAGGCGGCUUGAUAAGUCUGAUGUGAAAUCCCUGGGCUUAACCUGGGAAUUGCAUCCGAUACUGUCGAGCUAGAGUGUGUGAGAGGGAAGUGGAAUUCCGGGUGUAGCGGUGAAAUGCGUAGAUAUCCGGAGGAACACCAGUGGCGAAGGCGACUUCCUGGCACAACACUGACGCUGAGACACGAAGGCCAGGGUAGCGAAAGGGAUUAGAUA